This 264-nucleotide ribosomal RNA is filed under the name uncultured bacterium. RNAcentral describes it as "partial 16S ribosomal RNA". It matches the Rfam family "Bacterial small subunit ribosomal RNA", at positions 793 to 1055 of the family's 1533-position model. The record is from RNAcentral.
GUCCACGCCGUAAACGAUGUGUGCUGGAUGUUGGGUGGCCUGGCCAUUCAGUGUCGUAGCUAACGCGAUAAGCACACCGCCUGGGGAGUACGGCCGCAAGGUUGAAACUCAAAGGAAUUGACGGGGGCCCCGCACAAGCGGUGGAGCAUGUGGUUUAAUUCGACGCAACGCGCAGAACCUUACCAGGACUUGACAUGGGCGUGCCGCGGUCAGAGAUGACCGUUUCCGCGAGGACACGCCGCACAGGUGCUGCAUGGCUAUCGU